GAGGGGAGGUAUAUCCAACAAGAACUGCUAAUUCCUGCAUCUGGGCUUAAAACCCCAGUCCCCUUA
RNAcentral lists this transfer RNA (66 nucleotides) under Tricholaema leucomelas (pied barbet). RNAcentral's name for it is "tRNA-Ser". Lineage: Eukaryota; Metazoa; Chordata; Aves; Piciformes; Lybiidae. The record is from RNAcentral.